CAGUAGCCGCGGGAAUACAGAGGGUGCGAGCGUUAAUCGGAUUUACUGGGCGUAAAGCGUGCGUAGGCGGCUUUUUAAGUCGGAUGUGAAAUCCCUGAGCUUAACUUAGGAAUUGCAUUCGAUACUGGGAAGCUAGAGUAUGGGAGAGGAUGGUAGAAUUCCAGGUGUAGCGGUGAAAUGCGUAGAGAUCUGGAGGAAUACCGAUGGCGAAGGCAGCCAUCUGGCCUAAUACUGACGCUGAGGUACGAAAGCAUGGGGAGCAAACAGGAUUAGAUACCCCUGUAGUCCAUGUCUCUUAUAC
This 301-nucleotide ribosomal RNA is filed under the name uncultured bacterium. RNAcentral describes it as "partial 16S ribosomal RNA". It matches the Rfam family "Bacterial small subunit ribosomal RNA", at positions 509 to 807 of the family's 1533-position model. The record is from RNAcentral.